CUCCAGGACCCAGCUGGUUUCUGCACGGACCACAUUGGUCAUCAUGAGUGAAGUCUUGAGCCACUGAGCCACUACCACCUUGUGCCAAAUACUAUCUGUGCCCUGCCUGCCAACCAGGAUGACAACCCUUCACCUGCCAGGUGGAGAGAGACAGCAGCAGGCUAACUAGUUGUCUGUUAAGAACAUCCAGAGCAGGACCAGAAUCUGGGCCAGGAACUGAGAGACAGAUUGGGACAACGGAACAAAUCUACCAGGGAGCUCUGGAGGGAAGCAUUAGAUAUGGCUCUUAACCUCAGGGGGCUUACAGUCCAAUCAGGAGACCCAAUGCAAAUGGAACAAUGAAUCAAGAUACUAUCUAACAGGACUAGACCAUGCCACCCAGUCAUUGGAACUUGGAUGUAAGUGGCUUCUACAACCAAGUGAGGCAGAGAAAUGGGCAGCAGUGAUGACUCUAUAAAGACUUUUGUCCUUUCAUUCAUUCAAGGUGGUGUACAACCCAAAGAUGAACACAUGACCCUUGUCCUCAAGCAGCUCAAUCUGUGAAAACUAUCAUAUGAGUUAAUGUGGUAACAGAAGCAUGCGCACAAAGUACUCUGGAACAACAGGCAGGGACCAUUUAGACCUGCUGCAGUGUGUGUGUCUGUGUCUGUUUAUCUAUGUAUUAUAUGCAGGCAGAUUGUGAAAAAAGACAAGUUUCACAGAGGAGAUGAUACAUGAUCUUUUCUAAUUCACUGAAGCAUACAGCUAUCAAAGGCCUGAGGACUCUUGAAAGAUGAGCAAAAUUUCAUCAUGCAGAGAAGGGAAGUGUAAAGACAGGAAACAGCAUGUGAAAGGCAUUCUAUUCUAUUUAAAUCUAGGAAUACUGUCUUUAGGAUGUUCUUGGCUGAUUAAAUCAGAUGCAUCAUCAUAUUAUACUAUCAUGAUUUACCAAUACUGGUUAUUGCCUAGAUUUUAUCCAUGGACUCUCCAUUGGCAUCAUUAGUGAUGAGAGCUGGAAGCUUGAGCACACCCUGCCAUAAAGUUGUUUGUAACA
Homo sapiens (human) is the source of this 1033-nucleotide long non-coding RNA. Lineage: Eukaryota; Metazoa; Chordata; Mammalia; Primates; Hominidae. The record is from Ensembl.